UGAGGAACAUGACCUUCGGCGGGGGAUAGCCGGCCCAACGGCCGGGUAAUACCGCGUACGACCACAUGGGGACAUCCCUGAGUGGUGAAAGCAGCAAUGCGCCGAUGGAGUGCCUCGCGGCCUAUCAGCUAGUUGGUGAGGUAACGGCUCACCAAGGCGACGACGGGUAGCUGGUCUGAGAGGAUGGCCAGCCACACUGGGACUGAGACACGGCCCAGACCUCUACGGGGAGG
This 233-nucleotide ribosomal RNA is filed under the name uncultured bacterium. RNAcentral's name for it is "partial 16S ribosomal RNA". It matches the Rfam family "Bacterial small subunit ribosomal RNA", at positions 118 to 348 of the family's 1533-position model. The record is from RNAcentral.